CGAGUGGCGAACGGGUGAGUAAUAUAUCGGAACAUGUCCGGAAGUGGGGGAUAACGUACCGAAAGGUACGCUAAUACCGCAUAUGCCCUGAGGGGGAAAGGGGGGGAUCGCAAGACCUCUCGCUUUCGGAGUGGCCGAUAUCGGAUUAGCUAGUAGGUGAGGUAAAGGCUUACAUAGGCGACGAUCCGUAGCUGGUCUGAGAGGACGGCCAGCCACACUGGGACUGAGACACGGCCCAGACUCCUACGGGAGGCAGCAGUGGGGAAUUUUGGACAAUGGGCGCAAGCCUGAUCCAGCCAUGCCGCGUGAGUGAAGAAGGCCUUCGGGUUGUAAAGCUCUUUCAGCUGGAAAGAAAACGUACUUAUUAAUACUAGGUGCGGAUGACGGUACCAGCAGAAGAAGCACCGGCUAACUACGUGCCAGCAGCCGCGGUACAUACGUAGGGUGCGAGCGUUAAUCGGAAUUACUGGGCGUAAAGCGUGCGCAGGCGGCUUUUUAAGCCAGAUGUGAAAUCCCCGGGCUUAACCUGGGAACUGCAUUUGGAACUGGAAGGCUAGAGUGUAGCAGAGGGGGGUAGAAUCCACGUGUAGCAGUGAAAUGCGUAGAGAUGUGGAGGAAUACCGAUGGCGAAGGCAGCCCCCUGGGCUAACACUGACGCUCAUGCACGAAAGCGUGGGGAGCAAACAGGAUUAGAUACCCUGGUAGUCCACGCCCUAAACGAUGUCAACUAGGUGUUGGGGAAGGAGACUUCUUUAGUACCGCAGCUAACGCGUGGAGUUGACCGCCUGGGGAGUACGGUCGCAAGAUUAAAACUCAAAGGAAUUGACGGGGACCCGCACAAGCGGUGGAUUAUGUGGAUUAAUUCGAUGCAACGCGAAAAACCUUACCUACCCUUGACAUGUCAGGAAGUUUCCAGAGAUGGAUUCGUGCCCGAAAGGGAACCUGAACACAGGUGCUGCAUGGCUGUCGCCAGCUCGUGUCGUGAGAUGUUGGGUUAAGUCCCGCAACGAGCGCAACCCUUGCCAAUAAUUGCCAUCAUUCAGUUGGGCACUUUAUUGGGAC
This 1062-nucleotide ribosomal RNA is filed under the name uncultured Nitrosomonadales bacterium. Its description in RNAcentral is "bacterial SSU rRNA". It matches the Rfam family "Bacterial small subunit ribosomal RNA", at positions 92 to 1149 of the family's 1533-position model. Lineage: Bacteria; Pseudomonadati; Pseudomonadota; Betaproteobacteria; Nitrosomonadales. The record is from RNAcentral.